Molecule: unclassified non-coding RNA, 90 nt
Filed under: Pseudomonas sp. A214
Lineage: Bacteria; Pseudomonadati; Pseudomonadota; Gammaproteobacteria; Pseudomonadales; Pseudomonadaceae
Source: RNAcentral
UGUGGGAGCGAGCCUGCUCGCGAUGACGGUGGCGCAUUCAAAAUCAAUGCAAGCUGACCCACCGCUAUCGCGAGCAGGCUCGCUCCCACA